RNAcentral lists this ribosomal RNA (493 nucleotides) under uncultured bacterium. Its description in RNAcentral is "bacterial SSU rRNA". It matches the Rfam family "Bacterial small subunit ribosomal RNA", at positions 19 to 507 of the family's 1533-position model. The record is from RNAcentral.
AUGGCUCAGAUUGAACGCUGGCGGCAUGCCUUACACAUGCAAGUCGAACGGCAGCACGGGGGCAACCCUGGUGGCGAGUGGCGAACGGGUGAGUAACAUAUCGGAACAUACCCUAGAGUGGGGGAUAACGUAGCGAAAGUUACGCUAAUACCGCAUACGAUCUAAGGAUGAAAGUGGGGGAUCUUCGGACCUCAUGCUCAUGGAGUGGCCGAUAUCUGAUUAGCUAGUUGGUGAGGUAAAGGCUCACCAAGGCGACGAUCAGUAGCUGGUUUGAGAGAACGACCAGCCACACUGGAACUGAGACACGGUCCAGACUCCUACGGGAGGCAGCAGUGGGGAAUUUUGGACAAUGGGGGCAACCCUGAUCCAGCAAUGCCGCGUGAGUGAAGAAGGCCUUCGGGUUGUAAAGCUCUUUUGUCAGGGAAGAAACGGUGAGUUCUAAUACAGCUUGCUAAUGACGGUACCUGAAGAAUAAGCACCGGCUAACUACGUG